RNAcentral lists this ribosomal RNA (301 nucleotides) under uncultured bacterium. RNAcentral describes it as "partial 16S ribosomal RNA". It matches the Rfam family "Bacterial small subunit ribosomal RNA", at positions 509 to 807 of the family's 1533-position model. The record is from RNAcentral.
CAGCCGCCGCGGGAACACGGAGGAUCCAAGCGUUAUCCGGAAUCAUUGGGUUUAAAGGGUCCGUAGGCGGUCUUGUAAGUCAGUGGUGAAAGCCCAUCGCUCAACGGUGGAACGGCCAUUGAUACUGCAGGACUUGAAUUAUUGGGAAGUAACUAGAAUAUGUAGUGUAGCGGUGAAAUGCUUAGAGAUUACAUGGAAUACCAAUUGCGAAGGCAGGUUACUACCAAUUGAUUGACGCUGAUGGACGAAAGCGUGGGUAGCGAACAGGAUUAGAGACCCCGGUAGUCCCUGUCUCUUAUAC